This 38-nucleotide transfer RNA is filed under the name Hypocnemis cantator (Guianan warbling antbird). RNAcentral describes it as "partial tRNA-Trp". Lineage: Eukaryota; Metazoa; Chordata; Aves; Passeriformes; Thamnophilidae. The record is from RNAcentral.
GAAACUUAGGAUUAUCCAUAAACCGAAGGCCUUCAAAG